GAUGAACGCUGGCGGCGUGCCUAACACAUGCAAGUCGAGCGGAAGGACGAGGAGCUUGCUUUGCUGAUGUUAGCGGCGGACGGGUGAGUAACACGUGGAUAACCUACCUAUAAGACUGGGAUAAGUUCGGGAAACCGGAGCUAAUACCGGAUAAGAUUCUGAACCGCAUGGUUCAAGAGUGAAAGACGGUCUUGCUGUGACUGAUAGAGGGAUCCGAGCUGCAUUGGCUAGUGGGUAAGGUAACGGCUUACCAAGGCAGCGAUGCGUAGCCGACCUGAGAGGCGGAUCGGCCGCCCUGGAACGUGGCCACGCUCCAUACGCCUGCGGGAGGCAGCAGUAGGGAAUCUUCGGCAACGGUCGAGAGCCUGACGCAGCGGCGCCGCGCGUGUGACGAAGGUCCUCGGAUCGUAAAGCUGUCUUAUGGGUGAUGAACCUCUGUGUGCGUAGCUGUGCCCAUCUUGACGGUACCUACUCAGAAAGCCCCGGCUAACUACGUG
Molecule: ribosomal RNA, 497 nt
Filed under: uncultured bacterium
Lineage: Bacteria
Description: partial 16S ribosomal RNA
Rfam family: Bacterial small subunit ribosomal RNA
Source: RNAcentral